UACGUAGGUCCCGAGCGUUGUCCGGAUUUAUUGGGCGUAAAGCGAGCGCAGGUGGUUUAUUAAGUCUGGUGUAAAAGGCAGUGGCUCAACCAUUGUAUGCAUUGGAGACUGGUAGACUUGAGUGCAGGAGAGGAGAGUGGAAUUCCAUGUGUAGCGGUGAAAUGCGUAGAUAUAUGGAGGAACACCGGUGGCGAAAGCGGCUCUCUGGUCUGUAACUGACACUGAGGCUCGAAAGCGUGGGGAGCAAACAGG
This 252-nucleotide ribosomal RNA is filed under the name uncultured bacterium. RNAcentral describes it as "partial 16S ribosomal RNA". It matches the Rfam family "Bacterial small subunit ribosomal RNA", at positions 524 to 776 of the family's 1533-position model. The record is from RNAcentral.